Molecule: transfer RNA, 69 nt
Filed under: Plerotes anchietae (Anchieta's broad-faced fruit bat)
Lineage: Eukaryota; Metazoa; Chordata; Mammalia; Chiroptera; Pteropodidae
Description: tRNA-Cys
Source: RNAcentral
AGCCCUGUGGUGUAAUAACACAUGCCGAAUUGCAAAUUCGGAGAAGCAGCAUCACCCCUGCCAGGGCUU